RNAcentral lists this ribosomal RNA (392 nucleotides) under uncultured bacterium. RNAcentral's name for it is "bacterial SSU rRNA". It matches the Rfam family "Bacterial small subunit ribosomal RNA", at positions 505 to 898 of the family's 1533-position model. The record is from RNAcentral.
GUGCCAGCCGCCGCGGUAAGACGUAGGAGGCGAGCGUUAUCCGGAUUCACUGGGCGUAAAGCGCAUGUAGGCGGUUGGACAAGUCGUGUGUUAAAGCCCCUGGCUCAACUGGGGGAGGUCAUGCGAGACUGUGCGACUUGAGGGCAAGAGAGGCACGUGGAACUCCCGGUGUAGCGGUGGAAUGCGUAGAGAUCGGGAAGAACACCAGUGGCGAAGGCGACGUGCUGGGUUGCACCUGACGCUGAGAUGCGAAAGUGUGGGGAGCAAACGGGAUUAGAUACCCCGGUAGUCCACACUGUAAACGAUGAACCCUAGGUGUGGGAGGGAAUACCUUCCGUGCCGAAGCCAACGCGUUAAGGGUUCCGCCUGGGGACUAUGAGCGCAAGCUUAAA